GAUGAACGCUGGCGGCGUGCCUAAUACAUGCAAGUCGAGCGAACAGACGAGGAGCUUGCUCCUCUGACGUUAGCGGCGGACGGGUGAGUAACACGUGGAUAACCUACCUAUAAGACUGGGAUAACUUCGGGAAACCGGAGCUAAUACCGGAUAAUAUAUUGAACCGCAUGGUUCAAUAGUGAAAGACGGUUUUGCUGUCACUUAUAGAUGGAUCCGCGCCGCAUUAGCUAGUUGGUAAGGUAACGGCUUACCAAGGCAACGAUGCGUAGCCGACCUGAGAGGGGUGAUGGCCCACAUGGGAACUGAACCACGGCCCAGACCCCGACGGGAGGAAGAAGAGGGGAUUCUUCCGCAAGGGGGGAAGGCCGGACGGAGCAACGCGGGGUGUGGGAGAAAGGUCUAGGGAUGGAAAAACUUUUUUAUGGGGAAAAAAAAAAUGGGUAAGAAACUAUGCCGUUCUUGAGGGUACUAAAUAAAAAAGCCCCGGCUAACUACGUG
Molecule: ribosomal RNA, 498 nt
Filed under: uncultured bacterium
Lineage: Bacteria
Description: partial 16S ribosomal RNA
Rfam family: Bacterial small subunit ribosomal RNA
Source: RNAcentral